This is a long non-coding RNA of Dermacentor albipictus, 620 nucleotides long. RefSeq lists it as uncharacterized. NCBI's taxonomy places the organism in Eukaryota, Metazoa, Arthropoda, Arachnida, Ixodida, Ixodidae. The record is from RefSeq and is a predicted model, not a curated record.
CCACUUAGCUUCCAUUUUCUACGUACUCUACCAGUUCUCAUGAUUUUGUGCAACAGUAGCCGCUGACUCCAAAAGCAGCGGGCGUAUGUCACGUCAGCCUCCGCAUUUGACUCGUUUGAGUGAGCACGUCGCUUGCUACUGCCGCUGGCGCACUAGCACCGGGAAUUCAUUUUCUUCGACUACACCUGCUCUCCCACCACCAGCGCCUCAGGGAACUUAAGCCAAGAGACUGCGUGACAGAGCGAGCGUAUCCUACGCACAUCAAAUCCCCAAGACGCGUUGGCUUGGGUCGGACGUCAUCGUUCGGGACGCCAACAGCUGUAUAGGAGGGACCCGGUCGAGCGCCAACGUACGAGAUCUCUUAAGGCGUGUCUUCCGAUUCGGUCAACCAGCCGACAAACCAUGGAGGGUCUGCGAGAGCUCGCCUCCCGUCUACGUUCGUGCAGUUCAUCGAGCGACGCACCACGCCAGCUUCGUAGGGCACCGGCCAAACUGGAUGUGAUGAAGCAGCGUGCCGCUCCCACGUUGGGACGGGUAGGCCAAGCCUACCGCCGCAUCGUGGGCUCUCUGGACAGCCCAUCCUUGACGUGAAAGCUCGGAGCUCCACAGCGCAGAGAUCC